AUACGGAGGAUCCGAGCGUUAUCCGGAUUUAUUGGGUUUAAAGGGUGCGCAGGCGGCCAUUUAAGUCAGCGGUUAAAUCGUGGGGCUCAACCCCACUCUGCCGUUGAUACUGGGUGGCUUGAUUGCGGUCGAGGUUGGCGGAAUUCGUUGUGUAGCGGUGAAAUGCAUAGAUAUGACGAAGAACACCGAUUGCGUAGGCAGCUGACCAGACCGCAAAUGACGCUCAUGCACGAAAGUGCGGGGAUCGAACAGGAUUAGAUACCCUGGUAGUCCGCACAGUAAACGAUGAAUACUUGUUUUCGGCGAUAUAAUGUCGGAGGCAAAGCGAAAGCGAUAAGUAUUCCACCUGGGGAGUACGCCGGCAACGGUGAAACUCAAAUGAAUUGACGGGG
This 392-nucleotide ribosomal RNA is filed under the name uncultured bacterium. RNAcentral describes it as "partial 16S ribosomal RNA". It matches the Rfam family "Bacterial small subunit ribosomal RNA", at positions 523 to 918 of the family's 1533-position model. The record is from RNAcentral.